UUCUCUGAGGGGAGUCCCGUUGCUGGGCAACCAUUGUGAGGGGCCAGCAUUGUGGGCACCUCGCUGCACAGGUGACACACAGAGGCCGAGACAUGUGCCAGUCUGGAGAGGGGUCACAGUGAGGCAGGGGGCCUGUGAGGAAGUCCCAUUAACUUCAGGGCUGAGAAAACAGGACUGACCCUCCAGGAAGGGCCUGAGCUCUUGGGGCCCCCAGGAGACCAGCAGCCCCUGCCUCCAGGAAGUACUUCCUAACCAUAAAAAUGAAGUAAGGUGGCCGGGUGCGGUGGCUUACACCUGUGAUCCCAGCACUUUGGGAGGCCAAGGCAGGCGGAUCACCCAAAGUCAGGAGUUCAAGACCAGCCUGAUCAACAUUGUGAAACCGUUUCUACUAAAAAUACAAAAAUUAGCCGGGUGUGGUGGCAGGAGCCUGUAGUCGUAGUCAAAGCUACCUGGGAGGCUGAGGCAGGAGAAUCAUGCCUGAACCAGGGAGGUGGAGGUUGCAGUGAGCUGAGAUCACGCCACUGCACUCCAGCCUGGGUGAAAGGAGACUGUCUCAAAAAAAAAAAAAAAGGGCCGGGCACGGUGGCUCACGCCUAUAAUCCCAGCACUUUGGGAGGACAAGGCGGGUGGAUCACGAGGUCAAGAGAUCGAGACCAUCCUGGUCAACAUGGUGAAACCCCGUCUCUACUAAAAAUACAAAAAUUAGCUGGGCAUGGUGGUGCACGCCUGUAGUCCCAGCUACUCGGGAGGCUGAGGCAGGAGAAUUGCCUGAACCCAGGAGGUGGAGGUUGUGGUGAGCUGAGAUCGCACCACUGCACUCCAGCCUGGGUAACAAGAGCGAAACUCUGUCUCAAAAAAAAAAAAAAAAAAAAAAAAAGGGAGGGAAGGCUGGGCACUGUGGCUCAUGC
Callithrix jacchus (white-tufted-ear marmoset) is the source of this 908-nucleotide non-coding RNA. Lineage: Eukaryota; Metazoa; Chordata; Mammalia; Primates; Cebidae. The record is from RefSeq and is a predicted model, not a curated record.